Molecule: ribosomal RNA, 645 nt
Filed under: Triticum aestivum (bread wheat)
Lineage: Eukaryota; Viridiplantae; Streptophyta; Magnoliopsida; Poales; Poaceae
Description: partial small subunit ribosomal RNA
Source: RNAcentral
AUGGUAGGGGUGGAUAGGAGUGAUUGUUUUCAGCAUCUUAUUGAUAGAAUUUGCCAGAGAAUUAAAGGUUGGAAGGAAAAAGUGCUCUCAAUGAAGGGAAAAGAGAUAUUGUUGAAGGCAGUAGCUCAAGCAAUUCCCUCUUAUGCUAUGUCGGUUUUUAAACUUCCAAAGAACAUAUGCAAGGCAAUUAUAGAUGAGAUUGCAGGUUUUUGGUGGGGGGACAGUGAGGACAAGAAGAAGAUGCAUUGGUUUGCAUGGUGGAAGUUAUGCAUUUCGAAGAGUAAGGGUAGCUUGGGGUUUAGAGACCUUCACAGUUUUAAUCUUGCUUUAUUAGCAAAACAGUGUUGGUGUUUACUCCAGAAUCCCGAAUCUUUGUGUGCAUGAGUUCUAGGUGCAAAGUACUACCCUGAUGGCAAUAUACUCAUGGCUGGCCCGAAGAAGGGUUCUUCGUUUACUUGGCAAAGCAUUAUAUCCGGUAUACAAACAUUUAAGAGAGGAUGUAUUUGGCGUGUGGGUACGGGAUCGCAGAUCAACAUCUGGAAUGAUCCUUGGAUUCCCUCCAGUGAAACAAGGAAAAUUAUAACUCCAAGGGGAGUAACUAUGUUGAGCAAGGUUGAAGAAUUAAUUGAUCCAUAUACUGGGUAG